GGCGGCGUGCUUAACACAUGCAAGUCGAACGAUGAAGCCCUUCGGGGUGGAUUAGUGGCGAACGGGUGAGUAACACGUGGGCAAUCUGCCCUUCACUCUGGGACAAGCCCUGGAAACGGGGUCUAAUACCGGAUACGACUGCGGGAGGCAUCUCCUGUGGUGGAAAGCUCCGGCGGUGAAGGAUGAGCCCGCGGCCUAUCAGCUUGUUGGUGAGGUAACGGCUCACCAAGGCGACGACGGGUAGCCGGCCUGAGAGGGCGACCGGCCACACUGGGACUGAGACACGGCCCAGACUCCUACGGGAGGCAGCAGUGGGGAAUAUUGCACAAUGGGCGAAAGCCUGAUGCAGCGACGCCGCGUGAGGGAUGACGGCCUUCGGGUUGUAAACCUCUUUCAGCAGGGAAGAAGCGAAAGUGACGGUACCUGCAGAAGAAGCGCCGGCUAACUACGUGCCAGCAGCCGCGGUAAUACGUAGGGCGCAAGCGUUGUCCGGAAUUAUUGGGCGUAAAGAGCUCGUAGGCGGCUUGUCACGUCGGGUGUGAAAGCCCGGGGCUUAACCCCGGGUCUGCAUCCGAUACGGGCAGGCUAGAGUGUGGUAGGGGAGAUCGGAAUUCCUGGUGUAGCGGUGAAAUGCGCAGAUAUCAGGAGGAACACCGGUGGCGAAGGCGGAUCUCUGGGCCAUUACUGACGCUGAGGAGCGAAAGCGUGGGGAGCGAACAGGAUUAGAUACCCUGGUAGUCCACGCCGUAAACGUUGGGAACUAGGUGUUGGCGACAUUCCACGUCGUCGGUGCCGCAGCUAACGCAUUAAGUUCCCCGCCUGGGGGAGUACGGCCGCAAGGCUAAAACUCAAAGGAAUUGAC
This 862-nucleotide ribosomal RNA is filed under the name Streptomyces sp. Sp080513IM-13. RNAcentral describes it as "bacterial SSU rRNA". It matches the Rfam family "Bacterial small subunit ribosomal RNA", at positions 38 to 914 of the family's 1533-position model. The record is from RNAcentral. Lineage: Bacteria; Bacillati; Actinomycetota; Actinomycetes; Kitasatosporales; Streptomycetaceae.